UUUAUUAAUACAUUUGUCGUGCAAAAUACGACAACAUAUAUACUGUGAGUUUAAAUACAAUUAUUGUCUUCUAGACAAUAUACAUACCCAAAUAAAUCCCCAUCAUAAUUAUUGAUACAUUAUUUUACAAAAAUGGUGAGGACUACUAAACAACUCUCUCUAGAACCUUCAUUCCAUACCCCGACUAGUACUCGCUACAUUCUCGCCUCCUGAGAAGAAAAAUGGAACAAAAAGGAAAAGGGUGAGCUCAACUAGCCCAGUAAAGAAUAUUAUGACUAAGAUAAUAUACAACAAAUUAUCGUUAGUCUUCAACAGGGAAAAAUCUAAUAGAAUACAAUAGACAACCAGUUUUAAAUCAAUCUUCGCAGCGGAAAUAAUAAUUCAUUAGAAGAGUUAAGUAGAGAAUGCAAACUACUAUCUUCUAUAUAUGAAUUUAAAAGUUCAUCGUCGAUAUUUUAUCCCUGUAACAUCAAUCAAUAUAUAUCUGGAAUCAAAUAUUCAUCUUUGCACUACAGGCCAAAGAUAUUCAUCAGUUGGUCAUGUUCAUCUAAACACCUGUUCAUCUUUGCACUACGGGCCAAAGAUAUUAAUCAGUCGGUCAUGUUCAUCUCAACACCUGUUCAUCUUUGCACUACGGGCCAAAGAUAUUCAUCAAGAAAUCAUUCAUCUUUGCACUACAGGCCAAAGAUAUUCAGUAAUAUCAUCAUUUAGGACUGAGGAUGAUGAAAAAUAUUUUAAAGAAAACGAAUCCAGUGAAACAAAAGAAUAAAUAUUAAGGAUUCGUAUUUCAGCUAUUCCAUGUCCAAAAAUACCUCAUAAAUAAUCAUAGUGGAGUAAAAUUCAAGAAUGAUCAAAACAUGGAUACAAUCAAAGCUAGUAUCCAUAAUAGAUAUUUUGGACAAAAAGAAGAAAUUUCAUUUUUCGGUGAAUAGUGCCGUAUUCGUGAAUAGUGCCGUAUACGUGAAUAGUGCCGUAUACGUGAAUAGUAACUCCGACACCAAAAGAUAGAAAUUUCACAAAAAACAUCUUCACGCUUCGUGAAUAGUACUCGUGAAUAGUAACUCGUGAAUAGUAACUCAUGAAUAGUAACUCGUGAAUAGUAACUCAUGAAUAGUAACCCCGACAUGAAAAAGUUCCAAAUUUGAUAAAAAUUUCCAACCAAUAUUUCGGCAUAAUGAUAUUGAAGAAAUAAUAUCAUUUUCGAAUAAAAUAACAUCCCUUACCUCGAAAGACAGUACUUCUAGUUGAAACACCGGAUAUAGGCUAUGACUUGAACUUGCACCGUAUAGCAAUACUCAAAGUAUACUCAAAAUACUCACAAGAAUACGCUCGAUAAUAUAGAGAGAGAAAACUUCAGUUUCUGGUGUGAUUUUCAAUUCUAACCUAAGCACCCUAUUUAUAGGAAAAUGCUUAGAACACCAAAGUAGAAAAUUUAAUAAAUUAAUAUUAUAAUUUUUCCACAACUUCAUACGCACACUAACAAUCUGAAUUCAGCCUCCUAAUCACAUGUUAAAUGAGUUUCAAAAAUGAAAAAAACGUUUUUGUAAUUAAAAAUAUUUUAAACUUCCAAAAAUCAAUUAUUUCGGAACUUCGGAACUUCAAUAAUUCAUAAUAAAUAGCCCUUUUAUCAGAAAAUUCGAAUCUCGCGACUUUUUAUAGGAAAUUCAAUUCUCUACAACUUUGCAGAAGAAAGUUUUUCCAAAUUCCAAACAGAAAUUGACCGAAAUCCACAAACGGGCGAUUUUACAGGCUAUAAUCAAAUUUCGGUCAAUAAUUGUGUCCACCAACACACAAAAUAUGUGUUAAACAUUUAAUGCCACAAAAAUACUCUUCCUCCUCAUAUACUCAUAUAUCCCACAUUCAUUAUAAAAAUAUCACCGUUAAUAUAUUAUUAAAAUAAUAUAUUUAAAUGAAUUAUUUUAUCAGAAAAAGAUAAAAUAUUAAUUUUCAACAAUUGUCACAUUAAAAAUUUUCUCCAUCUAUAUCCACAUAAAAUCAAUAUUUUCCUCAUCAUAUAAAUCAAUAAUUAAUUAUUCACAAAUAAUAUUACAGAAUCACAGUACUGGCAACCAGGCAGUUCCCAGGAAAGAGGGGGCUUUCCAAUAAGGAUCUCUCCUUACUGGCGCGCAAUUAGGUGACCAAACCUCUCCUUAGACAGAACUUUCUAGACAUUGCCAAUAAUGUUAUCCAAUAAUAUUAUUCAGAUAAUAUGAAUUAUUGCUCCGAUAAUGGAAAAUACUGUGUAAUGACAAUUUAUUGAAACAACAGUAAUAUAAAAUAUCAAUGCAGCAAUUAUUGAAUCAAUAAAAUAAAAUACUGAACAGUAAUUACUGUAACAAUUAUUGAGUAGUGCCUUCUUACGUAAGAAUCAAUAAUUGGUGCAAUACCGUGUGCUACUGUUCAACAACGCGUAUUAGUGUGUUUUAACCACCGGGUAUUCCAACAGUAUUAACGGUAACAACUACGCCGUUAUUUAUAAACAACUUAUAUUUGUCGUUUUCUUCAUCCAAUCGCUUUCCGUUAUGGGGCCCACAAAAGACUGCGCCGUCGUACGAAUAUUCUCCGACAGUACGAAUAUUCCACGACCAAACGAAUAUUCCCCGACAAUAAUGAAUAUUUUAUAACCACUUGCUUAUUCGAAAUAUUUGCGUAUUUUACCCAUAACUAUCCACAUUAAUCAAAUCAACCCUUACUAUUUCAAAAUAAUAAAUAGAGGAAAAUAAAUUUCAUUUAUUAAUAAUUUGGGGUCUUACAUUUUCUUACUUUUAACAUACAUUAUACAAGUGAAUUAAAUGCAGUAUACAGUAUGUGGCUUCAACUCCCUGAAAGGGUAUUCAAAACAUCAAGAAAGAAAAAAGGAGUUCAAAAAUGUUAGCUUCAAGCACAUGGACAUUUACAGUGUACAAACGUAUCAACAUCAUAAGAUUGUUCAUACAAUUUCGGUGACCCGAAAACCAUUCCCACUGCCAACUUCAACAUGCACUCAACACUAUUUUUCAUGUUAAUUGUAGUGUUCACAUUAGAUUCUUCAGACAAAAAAAACGUCCGCAACAUUUAUGUAAAAACAGAAAACUUAUUGCAUGCAAGUUCCUUUCCUCCAAGUUCAUCAAAUUAUAUGUUAUUACUAAUUUACUUGUACAUAUGAGCACAGCCAACUUCAGAAAAAAGACAGAAUAGUUUCCAAAAAAAAAAUCCUUGCGGAAUUGGAAAUGCAAAAUUCAGUUAUCAGUCAGUUCAAAAAUAAAAUAGUAGAAGACAGAAAUUGGGAUCCAUAGAGACUCAAACCAUAAACAAUAAUUCAUCUCCCAAUCUCUUUCUUUCAAUAGGAUUCGGUUUAAAUCCAUCCAGCUAUAAUUCAAACUUACAUAUUAAAAGUAAGAAAAAAUCAAGUCCAAUGAACAACAUUACUUCUUCAGGGCAGACCUACAUUCUCCCUCCAAAAUUUAGAAAACCCCUGCAUUCCCUUUUAAAAUUUCAAUAUGGUAGCCCCAAUUUUAAAUACCUCUAAGUUAUGGAUAGUGAAAAACAAAUAUCAUGAUUUACAAAAACAUUUAAAAUAAUAGACCACUUUCCCAGAUCAAUAAAAAAAAUCAGCAACAACCAAGAAAUUGUUGAGGGUCCCCCAUUUUGAAAUGUCUGACUCUACCACUAAACUUCCUAUAAAAAACCCAUUAUACAAUAAACACUCAAAAUCACUUAGUGUAAUAAAACACAUAAAAAUCAAAUUCCAACUUUUCUUGAAGCCCAUUAUAUAAUUGCUCGAGACUUAGAAGUUAAAUGACUUAUAAGUUUAAAUUUAAAAGUGUUUGGUAAACUGAUUAUAAUCAUUUUUAUGAAGCUCCAAUGGUCAAAUCUAAUAAUCAGACCAGUAUCACUAAUUUAUCUCUAUUUAUUUUAAUAAUUCCAAUUACUACCCAUAUUUACUUUUCAAAACAUUCAUUUUUAGUAAUUUACACUUGAAAUAAGUGAUUAACAAAUUUCUUUAUACCAAACAUUUUUCACUUAUUACUAAUUUAAAUGUUCUUUAUUUACCAAACAUAAACUACUUUUUUAAAAUUGAUUAUAAUCAAAAGCACUAAUCAAUAAUAACAUUUUUUAAGCAAUCCCAAACAUACUCUUAAGUCAAAAUAAAAGUGUUUGGCACCAUUCUAACUUAUAAGUCAAAAUUAAGUUAAAAUAAAAUACGAAGGUGAUUUGCUAAAAUGGCUUAUAAAAUAAAAUAAGAUAUAAAGACUACAAAAAUAAGGGUUGGUCAAAAUUACUUAUUUUAAAAGGAUUUAUAAGUCAUUUUUCAAGUAUAGAUCAAAAAAAUAACACUUCAACAGUGUGUAUAUAUAAAUUAUAAGUUGGUUUGACCAACUUAUAAGCUGUCGCUGAACAGGCUCUUAACUACCUUGGAAUUUGGAAGCCCAUUACAGAAUGAGACCUCAAAAUCACUUGUAUUCAUAUUAAAUCACUAAAAAAUUAACUCCAUUGUAAGAAGCCCGUUAUAUGAUUGCGAAAUAAAACUUAAAAAUCCGUACCUGAGAGGAGUUGAAGUUUGAGUCUGAACUGAAACUGAAACUGGAGGUGCAGCGUGCAGGUAGAGAUAAAGGGAGUGAAGGAGUGAUAAAUAUAUAUAGUAUC
RNAcentral lists this long non-coding RNA (4626 nucleotides) under Panax ginseng (ginseng). Its description in RNAcentral is "long non-coding RNA (PGIN_LNC008298)". The record is from RNAcentral. Lineage: Eukaryota; Viridiplantae; Streptophyta; Magnoliopsida; Apiales; Araliaceae.